AGGGAAUCUUGCGCAAUGGGCGAAAGCCUGACGCAGCAACGCCGCGUGCGGGACGAAGGCCCUCGGGUUGUAAACCGCUUUCAGUAGGAACGAAACUGACGGUACCUGCAGAAGAAGGUGCGGCCAACUACGUGCCAGCAGCCGCGGUGACACGUAGGCACCAAGCGUUGUCCGGAUUUAUUGGGCGUAAAGAGCUCGUAGGCGGUUCAGUAAGUCGGGUGUGAAAACUCUGGGCUUAACCCAGAGACGCCACCCGAUACUGCUGUGACUAGAGUGCGGUAGGGGAGUGGGGAAUUCCUGGUGUAGCGGUGAAAUGCGCAGAUAUCAGGAGGAACACCGGUGGCGAAGGCGCCACUCUGGGCCGUAACUGACGCUGAGGAGCGAAAGCGUGGGUAGCAAAC
RNAcentral lists this ribosomal RNA (401 nucleotides) under uncultured bacterium. RNAcentral describes it as "bacterial SSU rRNA". It matches the Rfam family "Bacterial small subunit ribosomal RNA", at positions 356 to 773 of the family's 1533-position model. The record is from RNAcentral.